UUUGUAGGAAAAACCACAGAUUUCUAGAGAGUCGUCCACGGCAAGCAGAAUUGAUCUGUUGCCAAACCCCGGAGGCACAAGAACCAUGGUUGAGAGACUACUAAGUAAUAGGCAAGUUCUAUACAUACCUUGCAUCUCAAGUAUCAUAUUUAUCUCAUUAAUUUCAUAGGUAACCUUCUGAUCCUCUAAAUGGCUUCCAGCAGCUCGACGACAAGUCACCGAGAAUGCAUGGAAACGUUCAGCUGUGGGUUAGCUUCACAUGAGUUACUCUCCCCAACACAUGUCCUGCAAAAUUCACACGAUUACUUUGGUUCUUCAAACAUGGCCAACAAUAUUUCAAUGAAUGCUAUGAGCAACCAUCCUUUGUCCAUUUUACGAAGUCAUGGCAAGGAGACCUCCUACAUGUGAAGCAUUUGAGAGGAAGUUAUGAUUUCUUCAGAAAGGAGGUGGGAGGUAGCUGAGGUUGGACAUAUGUAGAUUUCUUGUCCUUCAAGCUUGUCCCUAUUCGUUGUUAGAGGGUUAAUGGAUUGUGUAUAUAUAAAAGCUCGUUCAUUCCGUACGUUUUGAAGGAUGGCGAGGAGAGUUGUUGCUCGGGCAUGGAGUGAACGACGAGGAAAAGGAAAGUGUAGGUAUAUAGUUCAUAUAUAAACUUAGUUGCAAAGUAUAUCAUAUACUGUAUAUAAAUAUGUUCAAUUGUUCAUUUCUUCCGGGGGUUAAUCUUCCUCGAAAUUUGUUACUCUAAAGUGCUUUGAGCUAUAGGAAAUGAGCGAGUUUCGAUAGAGGCUUGUGGGCGUUUGACCCUAUUUGAUCCUGCUGAGUGAUUCAACGAUAACUUUGAAAUGUAAGCAAGCCUUUACAGAUUCCAAACAAGACCCUGAAACUGUCAUUUGAGAAAUUUAUUACAUUUGGAAAAUGUAAUGGGGUUGUGUGAUUAUUGUCAAACUUAGGAUCUGCUUCAUGGUAUGGGUUCAGACGUUCAGUAGCAGAGAGAGAGAGAGAGAGAGAGUAAUGACUAAUGAAUGAAUGAAUGCAGAAGAGAGAGAGAGAGAAGAAGAAGGCAGAAGUUGUCUUGAAUAGUGGCUUCUCUAGGAAAAAGGUUUUGGAGUUUUGCAGACUAAAUGCUUUCUUUCUGUUUCAGAUUCCCUCCCCAAGCCUCUAGCCCAUAGCCCACCCACCACUGACCACACCACCAAUCUCUCUUCACACUUUUCUUUCUCUCAACUCAGCCCCUUCCUUUCGUCCUUUUACUCUGUUCUGGAGGUUCCUCUUCCAUCAUUUCCUUUCUACCUUUUCUCAAACUACCAAACAAAGGAACCCAAUGUCAAAUUCAAUAUAAAAAUAAAAUAGACCAUCUAUCUUUCUCUCCGACUCUGCUAAGCUAAGCUGUAGGAAUACAGGACAAAGUGCGGCAGCAGCAAAUACAUACAUGUAACAAUAGUAGACUCAGUACUAAUCUAUAAAGCACACACUGCUUUCUCGUACUUCACAGUAACAUAUCCAGUGUGUGUUCAUUUUCCCUCCCAUCCUCGAUCCUGCAUUUUGUCUCUCUCUGCUCAAAACCCAUUUCAAAUCAAUGGCUUCUUCAUUCAACCUACAAAACAGAAGACCCUUCUCUUCUCCUUCUUGUUUCUGACUUGCUACCAACAUCUAUAAUACCAAUUUCAGCAUUCCCAUUUCAGGUGCAGCCAAGUAAGUAUAAAUGUCAAUGCCUUUAGGGCAGCAGCAGGGACCACUGGUGAAUGUCAACCCACAAUCAUUCGCCGGCAUCCACUCGUCAUCCCACCCUUCGGUCGGGCCUGUAAUUGCAGUGCUGGUGGUGAUCAUGAUUCUGGGAAUUGCAGCAGUGAUGAUUGGAAGGAUGUGUUCUGGGAGGAGGAUACUGGGUUACGGCCAAUACGACAUUGAAGGAUGGGCUGAGACCAAGUGUUCAACUUGCAUUGAUGGAAGGAUUACUCCUUCUCCUCCUCCUCUUCCGCGGCCUCCUACACCGCCUGCUACUACUGCUCCUCCUCCACCACUUGGGGACAGUGACAAUGCCGCUUCUCACGGCGAGAAUGAUGAUGAAGAGGACGAAAGUGGAGGUAGUUCAUCACCCACCUGACUGACAUUGUGUUUUUUCCCUUUUCUUUAGAGGAGAGGUUCUCAUAUGUUUUCUUCUCUGCUAAAUGUUCACACUUAUUGGAACUCCUGAGGAACUGUUGAUUGUUUUCCCACCCACCAUUGAAGCAGCAGCAUUAAUUAGUUGCUUUGACCUUAUUAUAAGUUAUAACUUGUUAUUAGCUUGGCUGCUAGUUUUUUUUUAUGUUCAGUUUCUCAUCUCUAUUUUCUGCUCAUUCUAAUUUUGGACGAGACGAGUUCCCAAACUCCAUGAAUAUUUGAUUGAAAACCCAGCAGAAGCAAGGGAUGUGUAGUGACUAGUGAUAGAUUAUUUUCUGAAACUGCUAUUGAAAUUCGAGCAUAUUUGGAAGGUAGUAUACUAGAGUCUCUCUCUCCCAUAUUCCAUUUAAACCUGGAACAUGUCGGUCAACUGCGGAAUUUACAUUGGUCGAUGAUGUAGUAGUAAUUGAGGAGGGGAAAGUAGGUUCACGUGAAGAAACUGACAUAUGAUGAGAGUGAUGUAUCAGUGAAAUGUUUAUUCUCACGAAACUGUAGGCAUCACUUCACAAUGAGAGAACAGCGUCAUUCAGAAUAAGGAAGGAAAUUAAAAGAGCUAACUAGAGACAUGUUUGUUCAUUAUACCCCAGUCAGUUUCAACGUACCUAUUGCUGCUGCUGCUGCUGCUGUUCCCAUCUCAGUCUUUCUUGCCCAUACAUAAUAUAUUCCCAUGGCGAUUCGCUACAUAAAGUUGCCAUAACAUCACAGUGAUGAUGAGACUGUUACUGGCUGCAAACCCCAUUCCCCUCAAAUAUCCCCUAGACCCAAGAGAGUAGUACUAGCUAGCAAUAGCAUUGUUAAGAAAAGAAUCCAACAUGGAACACAGUCUCAGCCCACUAGUUCAUCAAUAAACCUCGUCUUCCCCUCCAACUUGUUACAUUAUUCACUCCUAAAGUAUAUAAACAAAUGUUGGCAUUUGGGAAAAACAUGCUGAGUUUCAGAUAAUAAUGCAAGUUGUUAAUCAACUUGCACCCUGAAGUGAACUUCCAAACGUGAUCAAGGAACGAAGGAAAUAACAUAAGCAAGGCUCUUUCUUGUUAAACUAGUAACAUCCAGAUUCCAGACACAAGUUCUAUCUAUGGACCAAAAGUAGAAGGAGGACGCUGAGCUUGAGAAGAUGAGAGAUGCCAGCAACCACAUGCAACCUACUCCUUGGAACCCCUGUUUUCCCCACUGCCUCUUGUCCAGCAUUACAAAGCAAGGUACGGACUUUAUUUCAUAAUGCAGCAGCUGUAACAGCCAACCAACCAGUUCAACAAGUUCAUAAAUUUCUGAAUCAGAGUUCAAGUUGAAACCAUUUCUUUCACCAAUAUACUAAACCAUUUAUCCACCUAUUGUUAUCAGCAAAAUAUCAACCCCAAGUGUUUGAAAGACCUAAUAGCACCUAAUUCUGUACCAGGAGUCGAUUACUUUAUCUCAGGCAGCCAUUGUUCAUUCUUUGCAUCGGCCAUCACAAUGUUGACCCAAUCCCAGUUUCUCCUCUCCACCUCCGUCACCAAAUUGACCAAUGAGUUGCAGAGCAUACACUUGGGGGAGUAAAAUUCAAGCACCGUUGCCUCUUUCCCGCCAGCCAGAGCCGAAGCAAACGCUCUUUGCUCCGCCUCAGCCUGCUCUUCCGCACUUCUCUUUCCUUUCCCAUUCGCCGACGAAUUGGAGACCGAGUUUAUGGAUUUUAGGGCAAUGGAGUCCAGAGUGCUGAGGGAUUUCAGCAGCCAUGGACCCUCGUAAGAGCAGGCGUUGGGGCUAGUUUUGUGAUUCUGGUCCCAAGGCCAUGUUAGACAGAAGAGAGGAUGCUUUGGAGGAGCUGCGUCGGUUUUCAUCUCGAUUUCUUUCUGGCCGUGAAUUACCAUUUACUAGCGAGUUUGUGUUUUCAGUCGGAGCCCUUUGUGAGAAUCCUCAAAAGAUUUUGAGGUCAGAACUGCAGAACGGCAUUAUAAACAGUUUGUUAUAAAACUAAACUCAAAGAAAGACAAGAACAAGAGAAAAUAUGGAGAGGGAGAGAGUUUCUUAUUGAUGUGUAGAUAUGAUACAAUGUAGAGUCCUAUUUAUAGGCUCAUGAAACCAUAACCUAUACAUUCUAAUAUUAAUACAAUUAAGAGAGUAAUAUAAUACAUGAUCAAUGCAAUGGGAGUUACACAAUGAGCAUUCAACUACAUUUAUAUAAAAUAUUCAUAACACAGUUAGAUUACAUUCAUUUUUUUGGGUAAAUUUAGGUGAGACGGCACCUAUUUGUUAUUCACAAUCAAAAGAUGUUGGGAAUCUCCAAACAAGUGAUACGAAAUGUGCAUCGAUAAAGUAGAAUCAUUAAUGAAAAUAGACUGAACACCAAUAUAUAGUCUAUGACCUAGGACCGUUAAGUAGUCCACUGUCUGGUUGCCUUCCCAAUAAAUGUGCUCAACUUUGUUUGUCAAGUUCCGAUCCAACAUCUCACGGAACCGAGCGACCUCAGAAGAGUGCUGGUGUGUGCUCUCACUCUCCGCCAACCGAAGUUAGAUUGCAGCUCGUGAAUCCAGCUGCACCCGUACCUGUCUGUACCAAACUCCGAAGCCAGUUGUAACCUCGGUACAACAACUCCCAACUUAGCCCUGGUUAUUGAGGAGAUUCCCAGGUUCAUCGAAUAUGCCGCUAAGUAACGACCAUCGGAUUCACGGAAUAAACCUCCUGCUGUUGCUUUUCCGGUCUCUGGAAUAGCAGACUCGUCAGAGUUAAGAGCAACCCACUCGGGUGGUGGUGACAGCGAAGAGACUUCCACCACUGUCUUGGUGGGCGAACCAGCAUGAGUGGAUUGGUCACAUAUCAAGGUCUCCACAAUCGUCUCGGGCCAUUAUCUGAUAUGAUGUGCAAGGGCCUGGAGUGGUGCUAAUAUCAGUGAAAAUAGCUUCAUUUCUGGCCUUCCAAAGAGACCGGCAGGCAACCCCAAAAAGAAGGCUAGUGCUUGACGCCUUCAAGUAGUGUGUGAUCAAAGGCAAAAGUAAGGAUUCCCAGUUCGUUUCAUCUUCAGAAAGGAAAACGUUCCUAGGUGGUGACUGCGAAGGGACAAUCCUGCAACACAUGCAAGGUUGUUUCUGCUGGGUAGUGGCAGCGUGUACAUGCUCCAUCCGUCAAUAGGUGUUUAUGUCUUCUUGACUCAUUCGUCAACAACCUGUCAAGAGAAGCUAACCAAAUAAAAUAUUUAACCCGGUUAGGGCAGCGCCAGCUCCAAACUGUGUGCCAGUCAGGAGGGUCCACCAGGUCCUCGUUCUCGUCAAGGAGCUCAUAAGUGGAGCGAAUGGGGAACCUGCCAUCUUUCUCCAAGCCCCAGUAGAUGGGGUCUUCUCCACUACCCAGCCGUGGGGAUGACAUCCCCGUAACACGCAAAACCAUAUCGUCGAAUACUAAGGAACGGAUAAGUUGGAGAUUCUACUCACCCGAAGCGUGGUAGCUGGUGCUGAAAGGUCCGGAUCGGCCGCCGAAGGAAGGAUAUGUUCAAUGAGAUGGGUCCCGACAUCUAUCCAUUGUGCGAUCCAGAAUGAGGUAUCCGACCCAUCUCGAAUGUCAUCCCGUACUCCCAUUGCCACGUGUGGCAUAGAUGCCCGGAUUCCCCACCAUAAAACCGACUUUAAGAAGGAGUGCCUCUCGUGAAAACCACCCUUCCGUCUGUUAUACUUGGUCUGUACCACCAGCACCCACAAAUUAUUUGGUUUUACAAGGAAAAGGAAACCCAGCCUGAUCAUUUAAGCCUGAUGAGUUGUCGAGCCAUUCUCAAGCCGAGGAAACCUUGAUGCUUUGGUUGGAAAAUCUUCUUAGUUGUGGUGCCCCAAACAAAGUUCCUAAUUCGCUUGUCAAUUUCAUAGUAGAUAUGACUUCGAAGCUUUGUGGUCUGCAUAACAUAAGCAGGGAUAGCAAAUAAAACGGAUUGAGCAAGAGUUACUCUACCGACAAAUGAGAGAGACCAUGCCUUCCAGUCAACAAGUUUCUGGUCCAACCUAUCAAGGAUCUCCCGGUAUGUUGCAUUCGUUACACGUUCGUGCAGAAUUGGAACUCCCAAAUAUUUUCCUAGAUUUUGCAUCAUAGGGAUCCCAAGAAACUGUGCAAGCCUUCUGGCUUCCGGCCUAGGAACCGUUUGUGACAAGAAUACCGCUAAUUUUUCCUUACUUACAGACUGCCCAGAUGCAGAGUAGAAGGUAUCCAAGCAACAAAGAAUUGUAAAAGAUUGACGUUUUGAGACCUCUCUAAAAAGAACUAGAUCAUUUACAAAGAAAAUAUGUGAGAGCAGCGGUCAGUCAUGAGCUAGGUGGAUGGGAUUCCAAUCAUUGGCAGAGAUCGCAACAUUGAUCAGGUGGCUGAGCCGUUCGAUGUCGAGAGUAAAGCGAAAGGGAGAGAGUGGUUAUCCCUGCCUAAUAUCACGGGAAGGUGUAAAUUUCCCAAUCAGCUCACCAUUCCACAAUACAUGAAACCUGUUAGUCGAAACACACUUCAUGAUCAAGGAAACCAAGUUGGCGGGAAUACAUGUGGUCGUAAGAGUAUCUUCAUGAAACGGACAACAGAUUUUGUCGUAUACCUUGGCAAGGUCAAUUUUCAGCACCAUGCUUCUAACUUUACCUCGAUCAUUCUCCAUAGUGUGGACGACCUCCUGCAGGAUGGUGAUGUUGUCUAUGAUGUAUCGACCAAGGUGCACAUAUGGUGUUGGAGGCGGUUAGUGAGCAGUUUGGUGAUUAGGUUGUAGGCGACAUUACAAAGGCUAAUCGUUCUAAAUUACCUAAUAGAAUUCGGUCUCUGCACCUUGGGAAUUACCACUAGCACCGUCUCAUUGACUACCUCAACCUGUGAUGGGCCGACAAACACAUCAAUUGCAAACUGAAUUAAAUUUUUGCUAACAUGGUCCCAACAUUUCUGGAAAAGAGCGGUUGAUAGAAAUUCUUGUCGGGUGCUUUGAGACUUCCCAUAUCGAAGAGAGCUGAUUUGACUUCAAGUAAGGAAGGAGUUCUCACCAACCUUGUCUAGUUUGCUUCUGUAAGAGGAGUGAACCCACAGGGGAGAGUGGAAGAUUACAUUCAUUUGAUAUAAUGGUAAAUACAAUAUAAUAACUAAUAGGGUACUAUAGUCAAGUAAUAAACAUUACUACCACCUACGUUGCCAAUUCAUACUAAAUAAACCACGUUGCUAGUUGCUACUAAAUAAAAGGACCCCACCCUUGAGGGUGGGUUAGUUUGAUGGUACUAUUUGGCCUGGCGACUGUUGCAGAAGAAUUCAGCUACUGAACUCUUUUGAAUUUAGGAGUAGAGGGGUAGUUUCGUUAUUUCAUAUUUUAAUUUAAUUUAUUUAUUUUACAUAUUAAUUAAUAUUUUCCCUUAACUUCUUUAUUUAAUUAAUAUCUUUUGCAUACGAAAUCAUAUUUGAAUAAUUUUGGCGCUAAAAUAUUAGUUUUUGAAAUGCGAUUAAAAUAAGUACAAUCAUGGUAUAGUUUCAACGAACUUUUUUUCCGAGGUCAAACACGUGAGUUGACUGCCUCAAAACUAGGCUUGAUAGCUAUCACCAACUUACAGGUAGUUAUUGUUAGAUUGGGAGGUUCCUGAGUAGCAAUGCUUCGAGUUUUGACAAGUAAAGAGAUCUUGGAUAAACACGAAAUCGUGGGCAUCACUUUUCGAAAAGAGUAUUUCCACCCAAUAAACCUUGGGUAUCACGAAAUCAAUUCUAAGGAUAAGACCGCCUACACUCGAUUUAGAAACUAGAGUAACUUAGAAUCUCGUAAGCUAGGAUAGAUGUGUGUUUUUUAUUUCUAUUUCUCCCACAUGGCUUCUUUAUAUAGGCAAAGGGUCCAGGGGCAAAGGGGUACGAGUUCAUGUACCAAGAGGCAUCCUUAUCUCUAUGGAUAUACUUGAAGGUGGUUAUAACCUUGAAGCCCUACGGGUUUGGAGGCAGAACAACUCAGAUUUGAGUUUGACUUUCAUGAAGAGGUGUGAACCAAUUCGUCCUAGGAGAAGGAGUAACCACCACAAUCACGUAGAUCCCUACCAUCACCAUAGCUCAACUCAGCAUCGUAGCUAGUGACACUAGCAUCGAGUUGGAUGAGUUGGAGUGUCAGUCCUAGCAUGAAUUAGCUCAUAGAGGGGCUGAUGCUAGCUAGUUCCUGGUUGCUCUGAGCUAAGGUGAGGUUCCCCGUGAGUCCACACAUCAUUACCAUCACCGGCAUCGCACCAAGGUCAAGUCCAAGGUGCUGCCAUCACACCAAGGUCGAACUCUCUGUGCAUAUUUCUAACAUUCCUCUCCCAUUUUAGCGUAGUUUGCGAAUUCACUAAAAUUACAACAAAUAUCCAAUCAAAAAACUCUUGUAUUAAUGAGAAUGUCACAAAGAUUGAAUUUUUAUGUAGUAUAUUACACAUUCCAGAAUACUCAAAUAUAGGGGUGUCACAAAGGAUUGAACCUGUCUACUCAUUUGAGUGUAUGAAGAUAACAUACAUAAGAGUUUAUCCUUUCAUGAGCGAACACAAAACCAAUUCCAAGUUUCUUGAAGCAGCUACACUUCAUGCUAGCACAGGUUAAUUCCUUUAUUGUUCGCCUGCGUAUAUACUUUGUCAAGGAAUCAAUUAAGAAGUUAAUCUCCAACCUCUAUCAUUCGUACGUUUCUGAGCACAUACCUUCAGGAUGUUUCAAAUCUUGUGCUCUAGUUCACGGCCAACAUUAUGCCUCACCCCUAAAUGAUGAGACUUGCCAUUAUAGACUUGGAUAUAUGUCCUAGCUAUGGUAGCAUUGCUAUCACAUAAGACAACAAUCAGUGAGAUAGGUCUCAGCCACAAUAAAAUCUCAUACACCAAGUCCCUUAGCUAUUCUGCCUCCUUACUGACGAGUCAUGGAUAGAUAUUGGAGGCUCCCCACGAGUUGUCGAAAUAGUGUCAGAUUAUGAAAGGGCGUGUCAUCUUGUGGUGUUGCGGUGGUCCCUGAUGGUGUGGAAAGAGGCUUGGCCGUUGACAUACCUAAUCGAUGGAGAAUGCUAUUUAUAUAUUUGGUUUGACACAGAUGGAGCCCAUCACCACAUUUGCUCACUUGAUGUUGAACUUGGCCGCGAGAUGCUUAAGAAGAUCUUGAAUUGCUGCAUCAGAUGAACCAGUAGCGAUAAUGUCAUCAACAUAAAUCAAUACAAACAUGGUGAUACCUGAUCGGUUGUAAUAGAACAUUGAAUGAUCAGUUUUAGAGUCUUUCAAGCCGUAGUCAAGAAGAGCUGCUUGGAGACACGAAAACCAAGCUCUUGGGGCUUGUUUAAGACCGUACAAAGAGCGUUGAGGAAGAAAAACUUGGUCCGGAUGGCAGGUGGUUGUUCCAUGUAGACGGUUUCAUCAAGAGUGCCGUGCAAAAAAGCGUUAGUCACAUCAAGGCAUUAGAGACCAUUUGUGUGUAACAACAUCAUAUAAAAUUAAGCGAACACAUGCAUGUUUGAUUACCGGACUAAACAUCUCAGUGAAGUCAACGUCUUCGAUUUGAUGAUAGACUUCGGCAAAGAGGCGUGCUUUGUAGCAAGCAAUUGAGCGAUGGAGGUGUCGCUUGAUGCAGAACACCCAUUUAUUUCCAAUCACAUUGUAACCAAGUGGCCGAGGAACCAAUCACCAUGUAGGAUUGUGGAGGAGGGCAUUAAAUUCAUCUCCCAUUGCUUCUCGCCAGUGUUGUAUAAUUGUGCCUAAGUGAAGCAAGUGGGGUCGAGUUCAUUGUCGAGGGUGGUGUUUGCAACAUAUGUUUGAGGCUUUAAGUGGCAUGUUUGUUAGCGGGUGACCAUUGGAUGAAUGGAGGUGGACGGCUCAGUUGGUGGAUUGGUUGCACCCUGCGUAAGAUCAAUCACCAAAUUAGAAAUGCUAGCAUUGGAGUCACUUGUAAUUGGCGACACCUGAGAUGGAUUUGGAGAGGUAGUGGCGGUUGUGCUUGUUGGUGGGCUUGGUGGUGGGGUAGUGGUUGCGCUUAAUGGUUUCAAUGGGCCUGUAGGCGAGCUGAUCGACAAAGGCAGGGUGAUGUUUGGCCACAGAAAAAGAGGGUGUGGUUGUGGACUCGGGCCCGUAAGUGCAGAGUUGCGUACCUGGAAAGGGAAAACUGUUUUGUCAAAUAUCACAUGGCGAGAAAUAUACACCCAACCUGUUUGAGGAUUCAAGCAAUAAUAGCCUUUGUGCUGAGAACUAUAACCCAAGAAAACACAAGGAGCCGAUUUACUGUCCAACUUGUGAGCCACAUACGAUUUUAACCAAGGAAAGCAUAAACAUCCAAAAAUACACAACGUAGUGUAAUCAGGAGCAUGAUCAAAUAACUUGGAUAUUGUUUGUUUAUCUGGAUAGUUUAGAGGGAUUCGAAAUAUAAGCAAUUUUAUCCAUUAGUGUUUCUCCAUCAUUAUUCGUACAGUAUUGCAAUCCCUAUUUUUUUGUUAUUUGCUUUGGUAGGUUAAUUUAGUUAUUAGUUCAUAUAAAUCGUGAUACUUCAACCACAUCUUUUGUUAAAUCGAUUAGCACUUUUCACAACUUUGAGACCCUAGGGAAACUUGAAUAUAGUUAAUUUGUUAACUAGGUUUAUUUUGAGACGCGUAAAAAGAAUUUAUCAAGUUGGGGCCAUUGCUGGGGACUCUUUGUUAUGUUUAAAAGAAGGUAGUUUAAUGUUAAUCAUCACUCAUUGUGUAUUUCCAUCUUUUCUAUAUUUUCUUUUGUAAGUUUCAGCUUGGUAGUUUUGUUUGAGUUUAACGAUGCAGGACUACAGAGGAUACAACAAGAGAUGGAGUCAGAACGAGCAUCAAACAUCACCAUCUUGGUAUGAGAAUACUUGUUGCACUUCAUACUACCUGAAGUGUGUGUGGGAUUAUCAUCAUCAGCCUUCCUGAAGUUAUUCAGAGCCAUCAUCGUGUCAGUGUAGCUAUCAAGAUUCAUGCACAACUCCAUACCAUUAGGAGCCUACACGAAACUAUCACUAUCAAAUUACUUAAGAUUAUAUAGAGCCAUCACCAAACCAUUACUGUUAGGAUAUCAAGGAAAUGCGUGCGGCCCAGGAGGAAAGGCUUGCUCCGGUGGAAGAAAUGAUGAAGAUAACGGUAGAGAUGCCGAAGAGAAUAUAUGCCAGAAAGGAGGUGACUUCAAGGAUAGAGCCUUCUAACAGUCCCUUUGACGAGGAGGCCAAGUACGACAAUGAUGAGGACAUUCAAGAUGUGCUCACUGUUACAAGAAACAUGAUGGUCACAAAGGAGGGAAAUUCAUCCACCCUUAAAGACAAUGUAGCCAAUAGUGAUGAAAAGCUAGAAGUGGCUCAACGGGAUGGGAUUGAUUUCCCUUUUAAAUACUUAGAGGAUAAAGACAAAGAUCUAGAAGAUACACCAAUCAUUAUAGAAGUUUAGGAUAUAUGUGAUGGUGAUGAACUUGGAAAAUGCAAAUGGGAUAGGUCUUCUUCAAGCUUUUGGGAUGACGAUGAAGUUACCCGGGAACAAAUCAUUGAGGAAAUUCAAGUUGUAUGUGAUAAAAAAUUGGAAGAAUUUAAAGAAGAUGACAAUGAAUACCUCAUCAAAGCAUUAUGGGAGGAUGAAGCUGAUGUUCAAAAUAUGGUGACAGAUGUCAUAAAGUGCUCCAUCGACGAGGCCAUCAUUUUGAUUGUAGUUUCACCAAAGAAAACAGAGGUUCUUCAAAACUUCUGCUUGGUCAUGAAGUUCUUGUGUCGGAAAACUGAUAACAAGUAGUUAAACUGAAAAUUUGAAGAGGUCAAAGAAGAUGAACCACUCAUGGUCAACUCAGAAGACCUUUCAAGUGGCAUAAGUAGCUUGAAGAAGAUUGAGGUUGUUCAUAGUGAAAAAUCUUUCUAGCUCUUCCCUCCUCAAGCAUCAAAAUUAAGAAGGAGAAGGUAAUUCAGGGGUGCCAAAUGGUUUUUGAGAAAAAAUUGCUAGUUAUUCUAUCAUCUGCUUUAUCAAUUGCUCGGCACUCAACUUUGUACCAUGAAGAAAACAAUGGCAUUCAAGGAUGUACUUAGUUGGAUUGCAUAACAAUCCAUAUAUCGUCUAGCUCAAAUACGUUAAAGAAAGAGCGCUUUAUAGGAGGCAACCCAUGUCUGGAAUCAUUUUAAUUUUUCAAUUUUUGAGUCAGGCUGCAUUUUUAGGUUUCAUCGUUUUAAUUAGUGUUUGUCUAUCAUUAUUUUAGGAUCCUAAAUCCAUUUUAUUAUGUGUGGGACUUGGACAAUUAUCCUAGUCCGUUUUUACUUUUAUUUUUGGUUUUAUGUGUUUGAGUCUUUUUCAGAAGUUAGUGUUGGCACUGAGUUUGAACUUCAUGGAUCAUGUUUCUUACUUCUCAGGUUUCUCACAGCUUCCAGGUGUUCCUAUAUAACUUUUUUGUUUCGUUCAGUGAGGAAACUAUCUGAACUAAGUGUGGGGUGGGUAUGCAUAGGAUGCCUAUCAGUAGUCUUUUGGGUUAUUAUCUUUGCAUGUUGAUUCAUAAACUGAAGCUUGUUGGAACCAUUUUUAAUUAGUUACUUGGCAUGCUUAGAAAACGUCUCAAUGAUUUGUGCACUUGAAAUGCUGACUUGCUUGUGAACCUAGAUUUUAUAGGAGUUUAGGAAUAUGAUUAAAGUCUAUUGAUUCAUUCUCUAGAGCUGCUUUGAUUAGUUCAUAGCAGCACAGACUCUCCAACUUAAGGAUUACCUAGCAUGCAUGUUAUCAAAUAACAAUUUAGAAAGACAAUUCGAGGCCUAAAAGACCAUUUUGCAGUAUAGAAAGUUUGCUUCACUAGUAGACUUGUUCUUAAUUUGAUUUGAGUGGUCUUCUCUGUUGGCUGUUAAUCCGGCGGUUGCAUGAUACCGAAUUGAAUUCACUCGGUAUUGAUACACUAGAAUGAUAGAGGCUUUUAGAAAAGCUCCACCAUAAAAUAUCCAUCCCGUCCCUAAAUAUUUCCCCUAGGAAUAACCGGUACAUAGCCAAAAAGUCUUUUCAUGUCCCCCCAUAAUAUAGUAUCCCCUUUCUUUCAAGCCUUCAUUUGAUCAUAUGUACAUACGUGGUAUGUAACUCGCCUGAGUCUAGGAUUCAAUGAAGUUGGUAAGUUGAGUAAUUGCAAGAUUAUCUAGUCUCCCUAAGUAGUAGUUUGUGUAUAGUUUUUGUUUAUUAAAAAAGAAGAAAAUCUCAAAAAAAGGAGACAAGAAAAGAUCCAGACUACGUUUUCUGAUUAUAUGACUCAAAUCCUGCAGAUAAAUGAUUUGACAUCGAUUUUGAUUUGCCAAGGGUGAAAAUAUUUCCCCCAUAAAUUGUCUUGUUUUCCAUUAAUUGUUGUCACCGAAUUUAGAGUAAGUGAAACAAAUAGGGGUAAUAAGUGAAGAGAGAGAAAGAGAGGGAAGGGAGAGAGAUGACAAAAUCUGAGGGUAAUUAAAUUUUUCGUCACUUUAAAUAAGGGAAAAUGAAAACCCUCAUAUGGAAAAUUUGAGGCCCACGGGAAUUCAAAGUCUGGUGGUUUUUGGAGCAUGUUUUUAAUCGGAAAAGACAUAUUCAUUUUUUGCCACCGGAUUUCACAAAAUCCAGCCUAUUUGAUCGCGUAGAAAAUGCAGUCCCAUUCUCGGAGAUAAAAAGAAAAAUAAAUAAAAAUACAAAAAAAAACCAAAAAGGUAUCGAGUUAGUAGAAUAAACGAGUACAAAAGCUCAAGGUAGUUUUCACUAGGGACAAAUGAGCUAGUUUAACGCUCUUGUUGAAAGUUGAAUCCUUGCAUCAUGUUAGUGGUCUUAGUAGCUUAGCUUUAUAUUAGAUUAUACCGAGUUGUCUGCCACUAUGUACACCUACCACCACAUUCAUUUCACCUUCUCUUCUAUGUUCUCACCACAUUUCAACCCAAAUUAAAGACCUCUUGACUAGUGUUCGAUGUGCCUUAAUGUGAUGAAUAAAAGUAGGUUGAUAUGCAAGUGUUGGAAGCGCACCUUAGGGUUAAUGAUGAGCGUAUAGACACUGUCCCUAAACACGUGAGUAGUGCUUUCGGCUUCAUCUUUAAGUCAAAUCUCUUGAGAGUAAGUCUAGAUGGGCAGUAUAACAUUUGUGAUGAUGCGUGGCAAGUUGGGGAAUUUCUUGUGAGGCUUUUACUUCCUAUUUUGGUUUCGUUUAAGGGUGAACUUGUAUGUUAAGUAAAUUUAGGGGUGCAUUGAGGAAUAUGGGUUUACUUUGCCAUGUUAGUAAUUUGAUUCACUUGUAGGUGUCUUCCAUAACUUUUAUCAGCUUGUUGCUUGAGAACAAGCAAAGCUUAAUUGUGGGGUUAUUUGAUGACGCUAGAUUUUUCAUAUUUUUCGCCCUCAUUUAUGUGAUAUUUCAUUCAUAAUUGUGUUGCUUUAGGUAGAAGCUUAAGAUUUUUUAUGCAUUUCAAGCUUUUAUCUCGAUUUAGUGUGUCGGACCCGUUCGGAGUCCAUUUGAAGUCGUUUUGGAGUGCUUUUGAUAGAUUUCAGGUACAUGAAGACAUCGAGGCAUUAAUUGGAGUGAUACGCAUGCAUGGAUGAUCUAGGACAAGAAAUGAGAAGAAUUUCGUCAUCUUGAUGCAGCUUUGAUCUCGACCUGGUCUUAAAACGUUGCAUUUUUGUAUUUUGGACAUAUCUCCUAACCCAGAAAUCCAAUUGUUGCAAGACUGGUGGCGUUAGAAAGCUAGUUCAACUUUCUAAAAAAUUGGUGCUGGAAGUUUUAUUAAGGAUUGAGCCUAAACUAGAAAACUUUUGUGCCUCAGUUAAGGCACAAUAUUUGAUAAGGGUUAGGCGUAAUUGUUGACAAAUCCAACAAAAUUUAGAAUGUGCUCAUCGAAGACUUCAAUGAUGUGCUCACUAGUGAUGAUAAAAGGGGUCGGCGGGAACUCCUACAACAUCAAUGGGUUAAGAUAAGAUAUUUCAGAUGUCAUUUGGUUGACAUCUGUCUAAUUGGAUACCCCUUUACUUGGGUUAAAUCUCGAGGGUCGCCAAAUUGUAUUGAAGAGCGACUUGACAAGUGCUUUAUUAAUGAAGGGUUUUGGGUAGAUAUGCAGGUUUGGAGCUUUAUAAUCUCAUCUCCUCGUAUUCUGCUCACAUGCCUAUAGUCAUAAGAAUGGAACCACACCCAACUACGAAUUACUCUCGAAGCUUCAGGUUUGAGAAUGCACGGCUCACGGAACCUUUCUUGCACUCUUUGGUUACUCAUAAUGGAUUUUUCUACAGAGACAUCCCAUGCACUUGCGGCUUAAGAAAUGCGCAGCAAUUCAGGAACAACUAGGCAAAGAUAUCACCCUUAAGUUCUGGCAGGACAUAUGUAAGAAGAAAGAGCUGCUAACGAGAUUGCGUUGCGGGAGGAACUUUUCUUUCUUCUCCAUAAGGAAGAAGCUUUUGGAAGUUAAGGGCCAAACAUUUUUGCCUUGCGCACAGUGACCUGAACACUGGAUAAUUCCAUGGGGUUGCAAAUGGUGGGCGAAAGCGAAAGAAAAUUGAAGAACUACAGACUGACUCCGGGGAUUGGGUUACCGAUUUUGAUGUAUGUCUGUUGUUGCCAGAGAUUAUAUUUUCAGGUCUUCCACUGAACAAUUGCUCUAUAGCCCCAAUUAUUGCUGCAUUGGAGAAUAAGAUUUCUGCUAAGAACAACUUGUCUCUUUUCUCUCCUUUUACUCAAUAGGAGUUCCGUGUGGCCAUCUUCUUGAUGCACCCAAAUAAAUCGUGCGGCCUAGAUGGUUUAAACCUUAGUUUUUACUAGUGUUUUUGGGAUAUUCUUGGAGACGAAAUCUUCUCUACUUGUUCUUCAUGGUAGUAUUCCGCUGGAGGUUCACUCGACCACUAUUGUUCUUCUUCCCAAACAGAACAAUGUGGAGUCUCUAACAGACCACGCGAUCUCACUUUGUAGUGUGAUGUAUCAUUUGAUUGCAAAGGUCCUAGCUAACCGCUUACGACAAGUGAUUCACAAAGCAAUUGGUGAAGAACAGUUAGCCUUUCUCAAGCAGCACAGUAUUGUUGACAAUAUCCCCUGGGCAUUUGAGACUCUAUAUUAUAUAAAGAUGAAGUAGCGCACCAACAAUGAAUUUCUGGCUCUGAAAUUGAUAUGUCUAAGGCAUGUGAUCAUAUCAAGUCCUCCGUACUAUGGGUUUUGAGGCAUAAUAGAUUUCUUGGAUGAUGACGAUAUGCAUAAAUUUUGUGCACUAUUGUGCACUUGUUUAUAAUAAGUUGAGGGAAAAGAUCUCCUUCGUAGGGUCUCUGUUUGUAAGCUGAGAAAGGUAUGAAUUGUGAUCAGAUGAAUGCCCUGAGAAAACCUGAUGCAGUGACUAUUGAGAAAGCAAAGAAGAGUCGCGAUGUUUGGAUGAAGUUGAAAGAGGCUCAAGAAGCUUUUUAUAGCCAAAAUGCAAAAGAAAACUGGUUGAGUUUAGGUGACUCAAAUACUAGUUGUUUCAUCAAUCUGUGCAGUUAAGGUAGGCUCGUAAGUAAAUUAUUUCAUCGAUCUGUGUAGUAUUGUAGUAGAAUACUACAUAAAGUUUUUGGGUGUUGUGAAAAUGAGUGGAGGCUAUAUCUAUGGAUGAUCUGGCUGCCAUGCUCAUCUAAAAACUUCCUGAAGAAAGAGUUGAUUGUGUCUGUGCUCCUAUCUCUAAGGAGGAGAUCCGUUAGGCCCUCUUCUCCAUUCCAUAUGGAAAGAGUCCAUGUCCUGAUGGAUUUUCAGCUUGCUUUUAUAAGAAAGCUUGGCAUUUUAUUCGUUCUGAUAUUAUGGAAGCAGUAACCAAAUUCUUUCACACUGGAAAAGUUCCCAUGACUUCAACUCUACAUUACUGUCCCUCAUUCCAAAAAAUAUAAAUGCCACGAACAUUCGAGACUUUAGGUCUAUUGGUUAUUGCAAUGUGUUGUAUAAGGUUAUUGCAAAGAUCUUAACUUGCAGAGUGGUUUCUUGUUUACCUAAGAGUAUCAGUAUUUCUCAAUCAUCUUUUGUUAAGGGUUGUGUGAUCGGUGACAACAUUUUGCUUGCACAUGAUCUGGUUAAUUCUUAUCACUUAAGUCAUGUCUCCUCUAGAUGUGCUGUUAAGGUGGAUUUUAAAAAAGCUUUUGACUCUGCUGAUACCAUGUAUUUGAUAAUAGCUCUUCCUGCAAUGAGGUUUCCUAAAAAGUUUAUUGGCCGGAUUGAAGGAUGUCUUGGCUCAGUUAUGAUCAGCAUGGGUUUAAAUGGAGGAGUAGUGGAUCAUUUUGAAGGAAAGAAGGGUUUAAGACAAGGGGAUCCUCUCUCCCCUGCCAUGUUUGUCAUUGUUAUGGAAUUAUUACGCUAACAAAUGUUGAGUGUUGCACAGAGGGGCUCUAUUCUUUUUCAGGCUUAAUAUCGCUCAGUUAUGCUUUGAUGAUGAUUUUUUAAUUUUUACUAAUGAAACCUGUAGUGUUGUUGAAGGGAUUUGUAGUAUCCAGGCCUCUUUCUAUAAGGUCUCUGGCUUACGUCUCAAUCCAGAGAAAAUCUAAAUUUUUUUCUCGUUCUGUUUCUGCUCAGGUUCGUGAAACGGUUGUCCAAGAUUCAGGGUUUAAGGAGGGUUGUCUUCAUGUUCGAUAUUUUGGUGUCCCUCUUACUUCUGAUAAACUCUCUUCAAAAGAUUAAUUAAGAGUUAGAAAGUAAGGCUUCUUAGUUUUGCUGGAAGGGUGCAACUUGUGAAUUCAGUUUUGCUUUCAAUGAGCCAACAUUGGUUAUCUAUUUUUCUUUUGCCUAAAGCUAUAUCUAUAGGGUUGAGAAAUUGUGCAAUAACUUUCUUUGGAAUGUGGGCGAUGGAGGUAAGAAAAAGGCCAAGUUUGUUUGGCAGUUUAUUGCUCUUCUAAAGAAAGAAGGAGGUUUAGGGAUUCGUGACUUGUGUGCUUGAAAUCUUACUUGUAUCACAAGGCAUAUUUGAAAUAUUCUAAUUAAAGAAGAAUCCUUAUGCAUAGUUUGGAUUGAAGCCUUUAGACUUAAGGAGAAUCCGUGCUUAUUUAUAAAGGUGCAGCUUACCAAUCCUAAGCAUGGAGCCGCAUCCUCAAGGCUAGGGAUGAGGCUUUGGCAUUCAUCUCCUUUGAUUCUGAAAGUUCCCCUUUUAUGGCAUGAUAACUUGAUGCCAAAGUUUUCUUGUUGCUAAGGUUUAUGAUUCUUUUCAUCCUCGAAGAGAUGUUGUUACUUGCCAUGAUUUUGUUUGGGAAUCAACUUGGAAAAGUAAGUAUUGUUUCAUUACUUGGUUGGCUAUCCAUAAUCAUUUGAACACUAGAGCGAAAAUGGCAUCUUGGGGGGUUUAGUCUGGAUAUCUAAUGCCUUAUGAGUGACAUUGAUGUUGAUGACAUUGAGUAUAUUUUUCAAAGUUGUACUUUUGGGAAAAUGAUUUGGACAUAUUAUUUUGGGGCCUCUACACCCCAGGUUGAUUGCUAGAGAGAGCUUAUUGAUUAUGUUGUGAAGUAUGAUGAUGGGAAUACUGGUUCUUUUAGAUUGUUUUAGAGAUCCAUUAUUGCACUACAAGAAACUGUCCGGCUAACGGUGGUUGUUUAUCCAUUCUUCCUCUUCGAUUGUCUUCUUUGAUUGUUCUUCUUCUUCUUUUUCAUCUCUAAUGAAAAAAAGAAAUAGAGANNNNNNNNNNNNNNNNNNNNNNNNNNNNNNNNNNNNNNNNNNNNNNNNNNNNNNNNNNNNNNNNNNNNNNNNNNNNNNNNNNNNNNNNNNNNNNNNNNNNNNNNNNNNNNNNNNNNNNNNNNNNNNNNNNNNNNNNNNNNNNNNNNNNNNNNNNNNNNNNNNNNNNNNNNNNNNNNNNNNNNNNNNNNNNNNNNNNNNNNNNNNNNNNNNNNNNNNNNNNNNNNNNNNNNNNNNNNNNNNNNNNNNNNNNNNNNNNNNNNNNNNNNNNNNNNNNAGUUUAACAGUGGAUUUUUAAAAUAUGUUGUUAAACUAACGACAGUUUUGAAUAUGCUAUUAAACAUGUGUCGUAAGCCAUGCAAUUUCUUGUAGAAUUGGAAGCAUUUGGUAUGAAAGAUGUUGAAAAAAUGUAGGGGAGAAAUCGAUCACUACUAGGUCUAUUGCUCAAAGGAUUUGUAGAGAGAUCCAUUUUUGAUUAAUUCAUAGUUGGUUUGUAGUUUCUUGUAGUUUUCUCUUGUUUUAGUUGAUUAUAAAGACUAGAUAGAUUAUAUAUUAAAUAUUUCUGGGUGGUAUAUUUUAUUGAGUAUACUGCUAUUUUGAUGAAUACAAUAUUAUAUUCAUAAAAAAAUGAUGUUUUUUUAUAAUGAAUAACUAAGACUUAAUUUUUGAAAAAAGUAUUAAAAUUAGCAAAGCUAGACUGUUUCUAAGACAAUACAAAAUCAAUUUUUGUAAGCUGAGGUAUGAAACUUGAUACAUAAGAGUUACAAAACUUAUCAAUUAGAUAUACACUAUUGUAAAUCAACUAGACAUGUCGUAGUAGGAUAGUAUAGAUCCUUUCUUGCCACGCAAUGGGUGACGCUAUUAUCUUGUCGUGGAACAUACACAAUGAAAGUGGAUAGAGAACUUGGUAUGAGAUGUCGACUAACACGCUCGUAGUGAGAGUUCAAAAAUAACCUAACCACCUAAAUAGUUAGGGCCGGAUUUCCUAGAGUCUCAAGGUUGCGUUUACUUAAAGUGUAACUAAGUGAUCAUCGAAAACAACUAAGUUGUGGUGUUAGUUCCACGACUUUUAAAAAUAUUAAUUUAACUAAAACUGCAAAUAAUAUGAAAAUGAGGAUGGCAAGACUGCACCGUAAUGGUUGUGAAAAUGAUUGGAAGGAAACUGCUAGAUUUCGAAUCCCCCUAAGCUAUCUAAUUGUAAUGAGCAAUGGGAGUCGAGUUGCACAUGUACUACCAGGUAACCCUCUCUCAAUCUAUAUGAAGGCCAGUCACAGUCCUUAACACGCACCCAAGCACAUGAUGAUUGCCGAAAGAACACGACUAGCUGAAUGUUGAAUCAGGCCUGAUGCGGCUUUUUAGCCCGUCUGAAUCAACUAAACCAUUCGAAUUAAGGGAAACCCACUUGGGAGGUGUCGGGUUCUUGGAGAUCGCACCUCUGCCCUGACAUUGCAGCUAGUCCUUGCAACUUGAUCUCAUAUAUGGGUGUUCGCCAAACUAUACAUCCAACCACACAUACGAUGCGACAAUAGCUCGAGAGUGGUGCUAAGCUACUAAAAAUGACUUCAUUUCUAGCCCUCCAAAGGUACCUUCAUGUAAUCUGAAAAAGAAGGUUGGCGUUUGCAACCUUCAGGUGGUAAUUCAGGACAUGAGUGGUGUCUCAAAUAAAGUCUGAUCUUCAAAAGGAAAGGCUAACCACAUGGAGGUUAUAACCACAAAGAGACAAUAUAAUAACACAUAUAGAGUUGUCUCCUCCGAGUGAGGGCAAGGAAAACACUUAUCAGAAUCCAUCAAGUGGCGGCCAUGAUUCACGAUCAAUGAAAUUAUCGGAUUCAAUAAAGACCAGUCUAUCGCCAAAUAAUCUCCAAGGAGCAGCACAUAUUCUCAAAUUAUAGUUUGAUUUUAAGGCGGAGCCUUCAAUACAUAUAGGUAUAUGACCUCUUGGUUUGUGUGGCAAAUUAAUUGUUGGGCGCACCAUAAUAAUACUUAGGAUUCCAAAAUUAAGAGGGAAUGAGAAAAAUAUCUAUAUUAUCACUCGAGCGAAUUUGAAAGGAUUUAUUUAAAAAAAAAACAAAUCUCAUUAUUUCAUAGUCAAAUCAAGCCAUUACAAAGUAGGAGUUUGCAUAAGAUUCUUUAGUCCAAUUAAGACAUGAUGAAUCACUUCAACAAGAUGGUUUUGCAACUCAUUUUGAUAGGAUUAGGGUAUGCGUAAUGUGAUUAAUCUUGUACAUUAAUUUGAACAAUCAUUAAAAGUGUCGUGUGGUGACUAUAGUUAGAGAAAUCAGAACGGUAAGAUAGGGACGGAGGAGAUAUAGAAAGAAAAGAGUCGGUGGGGAAGUUGUAUGGACGUCUUGGUGAGCUGCAGCCAAAGCUGACCGACCAGCUGUAGACCAUAGUAGCAGCAGUAGUAGUAUUAAUAGUAGGACUCCCUCACUCACUCAUUGACCACCACCAUCAUCAUCAUCAUCGUCAAACUGCCCCCAACCCAACUGCUGUAGUUUUAUUUAAAUGAAAAAAACGUGGCCACUUACUUGUAUGGCUCCAAAAUUUAACAACCGUUUUGCAAUAUGCGAGUUGCUUGCUUUCAAUUCCCGGGAUAACUCCAGUCCAACCUCUUCCACGUAGGCCCAGGUCCCACCUUCAUUUUAUCCAGCCUGUAUUCAAUCUCUCACCCUCACGUGAUUCUUCAUUCUUCUACCCCCUUUGACUUUUCCUACCCUUUGUCUCUUCAUUCUAGCAAUUCCCUUCUUUUAUUUCCCGUUUUAAUUAAAUUCUACUGAUUCCUUUUUUUUUUCUUUUCUUCAAUACUGGUUACUUUUUUGAAUUGGUGUUAGACAAACAGAUAUGGGAUAAUGAGUCCUGGUGCAACUCAAAUGAUAAGGCUCAAGACAUACGGUUCGGGAUUGUUCAUUAACCAACAUGUCAUACGUGCUAAGCUCUAAAUUCUUUCUUAUUACUCGAAACGUCUGAACAUGACGAAUAUAUACGUCCGUCCAAUACAAUUCUACGAGCACUGAAUCAAGGUACGGCAUGAAAAUGGAACUAAUUUAAAGCAGAAAAACACGUUACUGUCACACCUUUUAGUUUCUACUUUUGUAUAGAAAAACAUAAACAAGAGAGUGGUUGAAUUGAAUUGGAACUUAUAUAGGGAGUUGAAAAGGGUACAAAGCAGCCGGUGGUAAACAAACAGAGGCCUACAGCUGUAACCAGAAGAGAACUAAAGAAAGAAGAAGUGAAAAGAGAGUACUGACAGUGGCCGCUGCACUAAUUUUAAAAAGGAAGGAGGGAUCCACCUUCGCAAUCAAUCGCAGCAGCUUCACUUUCAGUUUUUUUAAUAAUAAUAAUAAUAAUAAUAACGUUUGUUUUGCGUUGCGCCGCUCUCUUUUCUCCUCCUUUUUCUCCAUUUAAACGAUUAAAGUACUCUUUUAAAAACGCUCCAACUUUGAUACCACAACAAUAAUAAUGAACUCUUGUUCAUUCAGUGUACUUUUCAUUUGCACCCUGUGAUGUUAGUUUUUAUAUUGAUUUGAUUUGAUGAUGGAAGCCCCCAACCGAUCCAAGAAUAUUAGUAUGCAUCCAACUAGCAAGAAGCAAUGUGUUGUUUAAAGUAUUCCUUUGUGAAGAAGUUCAGUUGGGAUGAUGCAAAAGAAGAUUUCUUUGUUCAAAAUGGUAUGCUGCAUAUCAUCUUUUUUUGGGGGUCAAAUUGACAGGUAAUCAAUACGCCUGAUUACUACACACAGAAUCAAAACUGCAGCAUUGACAAAUCUCCCACCCCCAACAAACUCUUUUUCUAAACCCUUUACCAACCCCCCAAAAAAUAGUAAAUAUCAUACUCAAAGCGAACACACACAUAGCUUGAGCCCAAGUUGUCAAUCAUCUACACAUAUACAUUAUAAUAAUACCUUAUAACUUAACCGACCCGACCAACCAUUUCGUUUUAUUUACAACCAAUCAUCCAUAAUUUGAAUAAAAAACCAACAUAAUCCUCUCGAUUUAAUUUAGGAUAGUUUGGAUGAGUGGUUUGAAAUUAAAAAGAUUUGAAUUAGCUAAAAAUUUGAGAAUGGCUUAUUACUAUUUUUAAAAUAUAUCUUUUAGAUGGUUUUUUUAGUACAAUUAUGAAUUAUUGUAAACAAAUAAAAACCGAAAGAAUAUACUUAAAUGUCUGAAAUAAAGUAAUUUUGUUAAAAAUUCUCAAAUCUAAAAAAGCUCUACCCUCUAACUUAUUUGAAGUCAUUUACAAAAUUAUCCGUUCAAAUUACCCGUUAAAAAUUCUCAAAUCUAAAACACUCAAAACGCCCAUUCAAAUCACCCAUUAAAACCACCGUCCAAUUCAAAAUGCGACCGGAACCAAUAAUGAGUAAAACUGAAAACAUACAAAUAGAACAAUAAUAUCUAAAUCACAAUAGUGAAGUGGAAGGCGAGAGUUCAAUCCAGGCGGCAAGGGACCCACCAAGGGCCAGUUUAGGUAAAUCUAAUAGAGAAAUCCCAAGUGUUCUCCCUACCAACUAUACAGGGAGCCACCUUCCAGGAAGAAGGCUGGCUACUUCCAUUUGGCUACCAGAUCACGUUCAUGAAUCCAUACCCUUAUAUUAAAACUCAUCCGUUUAAUUAACUGAGCACCUUCCUUCUUCUUAGUCCUUAAUAAAUAAAUAUAUAUAUAUAUAACUAUCCCGCACGAGCCUCUUCCUUUCUCAAAUACAUUUCCUUCCUUCCCAUCCCCAGACCCAAACCCAAAUAGAAACCAACUUAACCUAUUAAUUUCCCAUUCAGACGUACACUUCUCUUCAUUCUUCUUCAACACUAUCUAAUAUUUCACUCCUCAACCUGCAAAAAACAUGGACCCAAUGCUGCACAACAACAACAUGUGCUCUACCUCUUCUACCACCUCGGAUUCUUCCUCCUCCGAUUCCGCCGCCACCGGUUCAGCCAAGCGCACCGACCGGAUCAAGGGCCCAUGGAGCGCAGAGGAGGACCGGGUGCUCACCCGCCUUGUCGAGCGCCACGGCCCGAGGAACUGGUCCUUGAUUAGCCGCUACAUCAACGGCCGCUCCGGGAAGUCAUGUCGGCUGCGUUGGUGUAAUCAGCUCUGCCCCACCGUACAGCACCGCCCUUUCUCCGCCUCUGAGGACCACACCAUCCUUGCUGCCCACGCUCGUUACGGUAACCGCUGGGCAACUAUAGCUCGCCUUCUCCCUGGUCGGACCGACAAUGCUGUCAAGAACCACUGGAACUCCACUCUCAAGCGCCGCGCCUUUUCCGGACACGGACAAACCUCCUCCUCAUCGCCGCCUCAGGCGGCGGUGUUUCAUCAGCGGGCGGCGUCCGACGGGAACUAUAGUACUCAAGAGUACUGUUGGAAUUACGGUGAGGGGUGUUUGUCGCCAGCGACGCCAGCGGCAGUGGUGGAGGUGGAUACGGAGGAAACUCUGACGACGCUGACUCUUGCCCCGCCGGGGAUGGGAAGCGGUGGAGGUGGACAAGGGAUGAGUAAUGUGGCGGAGGAGAAGAGGGCGGACAGUAUGCCAGCUGGAUUUUGGGACGUUAUGAGAGGCGUCAUUGCUAAAGAAGUUAGAGAGUAUGUGAAUUCUACCAUGUCGUCGGAGAGCCCCACACCUACCGCCGCAGCCAGUUAUUUCCAUUAACGGCGGGGGGGGGUGGCGUCCAAACUUUGAAAACUGUUAAUAUCGGUUGUGAAAUGAUUGAACUAUUUCUCAUUCCCAUCCAUUUUAUUGUUGAGAUGUUAUUAUAGUAGGCUUUGAUUUGACUGAGCUUCGAAGUUUCGAACAGUGAUGAAUUGAAAUUGUAAAAAGUCUGUCCGACGAGUGCCGCCUAAAAUCAAGGCAUUGGCAGAAAUCAGGAGGGAACCACACAAAAGAAAAAUGAAGAGUUAAAUAUUAUUUAAUGUGACAGGCUGUCCAGUUUUAUAAUUUAUUAGUUAAACAAUUGUGUCUCCAUUUGAUUCGGUAUUGGAAGCACAAUUUUAAAUUUUGGGAAAAUCCAAUGGCUUUAUCCCAAAGUAUUAUAUGUUUAUAACGUAUUGUAUGGAUGUGAUGUGAAUAAAUAUGAAUAACUUCACGAAGAAAAGAGUGUUGCAUUGCAUAUUUACGUUUAAUUAUGAACGGUUAAUGACCAAUGCUACAACGCCAUGAUGUAUCGUAAUAUUUUGUCGUGUUCAUCGCCCUUGUUUAAACGACAUUUCAUGCAUAUUCGUAUAGUUUUGGGUAGAACUUUAGGAUGUUUUGUGCAUUCCUAGCAUCUAUCUAAAUUCAGUGUUUCGGGCCCGUUCCGGGUCCAUUUGAUGUUGUUUCGUAGUGUCCCUCAAGAACACGCCCGUGUCCUUUUCGCUGGAAGUUACGGCCGAGAAGUUAAUUUCAUGGAAUACGGCCGUGUCUCUAGAGAACACGACGUGUUCCUCCUCCAGACGGGUUUUCUCAGCAAUUUUCCUUCUCCAAUUGAGAAUAGGCGAUAUAAAUACCCGGGUUCUCCCUCAUUCAAAGACACACUUUAUUGGAUGAAAUUUAGAGAGAAAUUCAGAGGUGCGAGAGCAAGAAGAAGGCAACUUCAAUGAGUUCGGGAUCGGCGAAAUAAUCAAGACGACGAAUCAAGUUCUCGAGAAGAUCGUCGAAAUUAGGUUUUUUAGUAAUUCUUUCUGGAAACCUAUAAUCAAUGUCUUCCUCUUCUGAUUUUGAUUUUUUCUUUGAGAUUAUGAGUAGCUAAACUUGUCUUUCUUUUAUUAGAUGAGCCCUAGGUUAAUCCUACGAACGAAUGAUUUGAUACAUUUGACGUUUUAUGCGAGUUGGAUGAAUUUCAUUGCAUAUUUGAUUUUGUUUUCGAUUUCUUUUUUGAUUUCGUUUUCGAAAUCAAAAAACUAGGUUAGACGUUAACCCUCAUCCAGGAGCGAAUGAACUAGUCUAUCAUGUGAGCAAUUCUAAAUCGAUUAAUCACCUAGCGGGUUUUAGAUCUUUGUCUCGAAAGAGCGGACUAGGAUACUAGAUAGGUAGAAAAUUAGCUGACCGGAAAGGGCGUGAUUUGACUAAAGAAGAAUUGCGACAGUGCAAUGCAUAUAUCAUGUUUCGUUUAAAUCAUGGAAUUUGUCUGUCCUUUGUGAAUUAUAAUUGCCUAGGGUGAUUCGACAUCUAAGCAGUUUCAUCUUUAAUUGUCAAAACUUAUAUCGUGCAAUCUUGCAACCCGUUUACUUUUAAGCAAUUUUCAUCUUUCAUUUUGAUAGUUUGAUUGAUCCUCGUGGCACCUAAACCACACUACUUGAUACUUCGAUUAAUACUAAUUGUAACUUUGAGUAAGAUACUCAUAGAGACCCUAGGGAGAUUCAACUCGAUUAAUUUAUUAACCGGUUUAUUUUGAUAACGCUAAAAAUCGUUUAUCAGUAGACUUGUAGAUUUGCUUAUAAUUAACUCAUGGAUGAUGAUUGUCCUUAUAAUUGUUGUUUAGUGAAAACUGGUGUGUGUUGUGCUAUGUUAAAACUAGUUGAAAAGUGCCAAAAAAUUAUGAUUUAAGAACCGUGGUUAUAGCUACUAAUUACUGAAAGAAAUCAAAAAAAUUGAAAAACAAUUCUGGGUAAAUCCGUCAUCCCACCGUUAACCCAAAUGUUCAACCGGAAAAACCAAGUCGACUAUAGUCGUCGAUACAUCCGCGACAAAGAAUCUGCGACUAUAGGCGGUUGUCGCGGAUGGUUUAUCCGCGAAAACCCUCUUUGUGAAUUCGGCCAUUGUCGCGGAUAUAUCCUCGACAAAGGUCCCGUGACAACAAGGCCGGACACGGAUACAUCCGCGACAACGAUUGAUUUAUCCACGACAGCGGACAUAGUUUUGUUGUAGUGUGUGGAUAUCGAUCAAACUAGUUCGCUUUUUCCAUAACUCCAGCCAUGCUUGUCUCUUCUUUCUAUACUUCCUGCCCUUGCCUCCUACUUCUGUCCUAAACGAAUUCUUAGUCUAGUUUCCUUUCAUCAAUCCUGUGACGUACUGUUCGUUACGACCGUUGCCGCCAUACUACCACGCUCGUGACUGACUGUUCGCCACGAUUGUGGCCUACUGUUAACCACGACCGUGAUCGACUUUCUGUCACACCCGUGGUUAGUAGCCCACUACACCCGUGGCUAAUUUCUUGUCACGCCCGUGAGAGACUUUUUCCCAAAAUUCAGAGUAGACGUUCAUCUUUUCAUCUGCCAGAGACCUUUCUCCCUAUCUUCUUCUGGCUAUCCUUAAAUUUUUAGAAUUGGCAGAGUCCUCAUCCUUACUCUUUCCUUAGAUAUAUUUGAUCCCUAAAAACUUCUCAACCUUGCAUUUUUGGUGGAACACCCCAAGGAGCAAAAGACUACAUCCUAAUUCAGAAAGCCCCUCUUUUUAGCGGAACCUCUAAGGUUCAACAACUAGUCUUUUAAAUAAAGACGUAAGGUUCUCUGUCCUUUGGUUCCUUAACCCUUUUUCUUUGUCUUCAUGAAGCUGGUGAGAGAGUGAUCGUUCAAAUCCUGUAAAACUUUUUGUAGAAAUGUUUCAUUUCUUUUCAAAACACCUAUCAAGCAUGAUAACAAGACUCAAGUCGUACGUCCAGGGAUCGCUAUCAAGCACCCACCGCAAGUUCCAGUUCUUGGUAAAAACGGAACAAAAUGCAUUAAUCAUCCAGCUCCUCGAUCUUAAUUCCCGGAUAUGGCUUCCAAAGAUCCGCCAUCUGAUUUCUAAACAGCUCGAAAGUUGUGUUCUUGUCUAUAUGUACUGUUCCCACUGCACAUAAAGGAUACUCAUCUUCAAUCUCAAUCUCCCCCAGCUCCGGUACAUCCGUUCCUUCAUCUACCUCUUCCUCUUCAAGCGUUAAUUGGCAAAGGUUUUGCACCAGCUCCGUCAUACUGCAAAUUCCGAUCGUCUGAACAUGGUCUCUGUUAGAAGUUAGAAAACCCUAACCCAUGGUCUCUGAUUGAAUAAAAAACUCGCUGCUGCAAAAGGUCCCGAGGAUAACGAUGCUGCAAAUUUGGCUCAUAUCUUGUUAUAGUAUCAAAUGCAGAAACGAUGAAGAACAAACGGCGUUAAGAGGAAAGGAGAAGACCACGUUAGUCAACGUGAAGAAAAGAAGAAGAAGUGCUUAAAUGAAACGACGAGUUUCGUCUUUCGUUUGUUUUUAGUCGUUGAUGUAUUAAACAUUGCCACGUGGUUUUACCCGCGUUUACAUUUCCGUUUUUACUGUUUACCGUUGGGUCAGUAUAAAACCCAAUCAAACGGAAUAAUCGAGUAUGAGUUUUCAGACUCUCAUCCCUAUCUUCUUCUUCUUCCUCUCUGCACUUUUCCUGCGUUUUUCCUUGAGCUCACGAUCAAACUAAUAUGGUAUCAGAGCCUCUGCUAUCAAACUAACGAUAAUGACUCGAAGUAAUGAAGAUGAUGAUGAUGAUGAUGAUGAGCAGCAAAACCAUCAGCAAACUCCAGGAUUCAUUUUUGGAUCCAUGGGAAAUGUACAUCGUAGCAGAGACACUUCUCCGAUGACUUAUAUUCAUCUGACCUUUGGUAAUCCUUAUUACCUGAAUCCUAAUGAAAAUCUAUCUCAAUCUAUAGUCAAUACUGUGCUAGAUGGAUCAAACUACCAAAUAUGGAGUAGAUCUGUACGUUUUGCGUUGAAAACCAAGCAUAAGGUAGGAUUCAUCGACGGAUCUAUUCCUCCUCCAGCUCCUACUAGCGAACAAUAUUCUCUAUGGGAUGCUUGUAAUACUAUGGUACUCUGCUGGAUAGCUAAUUUAUUGCAUCCAGAGAUUUGUAGGAGUGUGCUAAAUCAUGAAAAUGCUCAAGUUCUUUGGCAAGAACUUAAACGAAGGUUUGGACAAGCUAAUGCUCUAAAAAUGGCUAAUCUACAAGAUGAAAUUCAUGGAUGUAAGCAGGCUCAAAUGUCAGUCACUCAAUAUUACACAAUGAUCAAGGGAAUUUGGGAGGAAUACAGUCAGUUUUCCCCGAUUGUUUCGUGCACUUGUGCUCCAGCUAACACUUUGCCUUGUGCAGCAGUAGUAGCUUUCCAGGAG
This 28662-nucleotide long non-coding RNA is filed under the name Linum usitatissimum (flax). RNAcentral describes it as "long non-coding RNA (LUSI_LNC007862)". Lineage: Eukaryota; Viridiplantae; Streptophyta; Magnoliopsida; Malpighiales; Linaceae. The record is from RNAcentral.